AUUGAACGCUGGCGGCAUGCCUUACACAUGCAAGUCGAACGGUAACGCGGGGCAACCUGGCGACGAGUGGCGAACGGGUGAGUAACGCAUCGGAACGUGCCCAGUAGUGGGGGAUAGCCCGGCGAAAGCCGGAUUAAUACCGCAUACGACCUAAGGGUGAAAGCGGGGGAUCGCAAGACCUCGCGCUAUUGGAGCGGCCGAUGUCAGAUUAGGUAGUUGGUGAGGUAAAGGCUCACCAAGCCUUCGAUCUGUAGCUGGUCUGAGAGGACGACCAGCCACACUGGGACUGAGACACGGCCCAGACUCCUACGGGAGGCAGCAGUGGGGAAUUUUGGACAAUGGGCGCAAGCCUGAUCCAGCCAUGCCGCGUGCGGGAAGAAGGCCUUCGGGUUGUAAACCGCUUUUGUCAGGGAAGAAACGCUCUGGGCUAAUACCCCGGGGUAAUGACGGUACCUGAAGAAUAAGCACCGGCUAACUACGUGCCAGCAGCCGCGGUAAUACGUAGGGUGCAAGCGUUAAUCGGAAUUACUGGGCGUAAAGCGUGCGCAGGCGGUUAUGCAAGACAGAUGUGAAAUCCCCGGGCUUAACCUGGGAACUGCAUUUGUGACUGCAUGGCUAGAGUGCGGCAGAGGGGGAUGGAAUUCCGCGUGUAGCAGUGAAAUGCGUAGAUAUGCGGAGGAACACCGAUGGCGAAGGCAAUCCCCUGGGCCUGCACUGACGCUCAUGCA
RNAcentral lists this ribosomal RNA (728 nucleotides) under uncultured bacterium. Its description in RNAcentral is "bacterial SSU rRNA". It matches the Rfam family "Bacterial small subunit ribosomal RNA", at positions 28 to 753 of the family's 1533-position model. The record is from RNAcentral.